GACGAACGCUGGCGCCGUGCCUAAUACAUGCAAGUCGAGCGGACUGAAUGGGAGCUUGCUCUUGUUCGGUCAGCGGCGGACGGGUGAGUAACACGUGGGCAACCUGCCCGCAAGACCGGGAUAACUCCGGGAAACCGGAGCUAAUACCGGAUAACACCGAAGACCGCAUGGUCUUUGGUUGAAAGGCGGCGCAAGCUGCCACUUGCGGAUGGGCCCGCGGCGCAUUAGCUAGUUGGUGAGGUAACGGCUCACCAAGGCGACGAUGCGUAGCCGGCCUGAGAGGGUGACCGGCCACAUUGGGACUGAGACACGGCCCAGACUCCUACGGGAGGCAGCAGUAGGGAAUCUUCCGCAAUGGGCGAAAGCCUGACGGAGCGACGCCGCGUGAGCGAAGAAGGCCUUCGGGUCGUAAAGCUCUGUUGUGAGGGACGAAGGAGCGCCGUUUGAAGAAGGCGGCGCGGUGACGGUACCUCACGAGGAAGCCCCGGCUAACUACGUG
This 499-nucleotide ribosomal RNA is filed under the name uncultured bacterium. Its description in RNAcentral is "partial 16S ribosomal RNA". It matches the Rfam family "Bacterial small subunit ribosomal RNA", at positions 28 to 507 of the family's 1533-position model. The record is from RNAcentral.